Molecule: ribosomal RNA, 207 nt
Filed under: uncultured bacterium
Lineage: Bacteria
Description: partial 16S ribosomal RNA
Rfam family: Bacterial small subunit ribosomal RNA
Source: RNAcentral
CUCGUAGGUGGUUUGUCGCGUUGUUCGUGAAAACCUAAGGCUUAACCUUGGGCGUGCGGGCGAUACGGGCAGACUGGAGUACUGCAGGGGAGACUGGAAUUCCUGGUGUAGCGGUGGAAUGCGCAGAUAUCAGGAGGAACACCGGUGGCGAAGGCGGGUCUCUGGGCAGUAACUGACGCUGAGGAGCGAAAGCGUGGGGAGCGAACA